Dermatophagoides farinae (American house dust mite) is the source of this 90-nucleotide small nucleolar RNA. RefSeq annotates it as small nucleolar RNA snR60/Z15/Z230/Z193/J17. The record is from RefSeq and is a predicted model, not a curated record. Lineage: Eukaryota; Metazoa; Arthropoda; Arachnida; Sarcoptiformes; Pyroglyphidae.
UAUGAAAUUGAUGAUAAUAUAGUUCAUCUGAACUAAUUUUAGUUAUGAUAGUAAAAAUCUAUCUAUUUUCGCCCCUAUCUGAAUUUCGUG